CCCAGACUCCUACGGGAGGCAGCAGUGGGGGAUAUUGCACAAUGGGGGGAACCCUGAUGCAGCGACGCCGCGUGGGUGAAGGAGCGUUUCGGCGCGUAAAGCCCUAUCGGCAGGGAAGAAGGAGGACGGUACCUGACUAAGAAGCCCCGGCUAACUACGUGCCAGCAGCCGCGGUAAUACGUAGGGGGCAAGCGUUAUCCGGAUUUACUGGGUGUAAAGGGGGCGCAGACGGCAGCGCAAGCCAGGAGUGAAAGCCCGGGGCCCAACCCCGGGACUGCUCUUGGAACUGCGCGGCUGGAGUGCAGGAGGGGCAGGCGGAAUUCCUGGUGUAGCGGUGAAAUGCGUAGAUAUUAGGAGGAACACCAGUGGCGAAGGCGGCCUGCUGGACGAUGACUGACGCUGAGGCUCGAAAGCGUGGGGAGCAAACAGGAUUAGAUACCCCGGUAG
This 447-nucleotide ribosomal RNA is filed under the name uncultured bacterium. RNAcentral describes it as "partial 16S ribosomal RNA". It matches the Rfam family "Bacterial small subunit ribosomal RNA", at positions 330 to 793 of the family's 1533-position model. The record is from RNAcentral.